This 326-nucleotide ribosomal RNA is filed under the name uncultured bacterium. RNAcentral describes it as "bacterial SSU rRNA". It matches the Rfam family "Bacterial small subunit ribosomal RNA", at positions 28 to 355 of the family's 1533-position model. The record is from RNAcentral.
AUUGAACGCUGGCGGCAUGCUUUACACAUGCAAGUCGAGCGGCAGCGCGGGGGUAACCUGCGGCGAGCGGCGAACGGGUGAGGAACCCACUCGGAACGUGCCCCGGAGUGGGGGAGUAACGCCGCGAAAGCGGCGCUAAUACCGCAUAUGCUCUGAGGAGGGAAAGCGGGGGACCUGAGAGGGCCUCGCGCUCUGGGAGCGGCCGAUGUCCGAUUAGCUAGUUGGUGGGGAAUGGCUCACCAAGGCGACGAUCGGUAGCUGGUCUGAGAGGAUGAUCAGCCACAUGGGACUGAGACACGGCCCAGACUCCUACGGGAGGCAGCAGU